CAGCAGCCACGGGAAUACGUAGGUGGCAAGCGUUGUCCGGAAUUAUUGGGCGUAAAGGGCUCGCAGGCGGUUUCUUAAGUCUGAUGUGAAAGCCCCCGGCUCAACCGGGGAGUGUCAUUGGAAACUGGGAAACUUGAGUGCAGCAGAGGAGAGUGGAAUUCCACGUGUAGCGGUGAAAUGCGUAGAGAUGUGGAGGAACACCAGUGGCGAAGGCGACUCUCUGGUCUGUAACUGACGCUGGGGAGCGAAAGCGUGGGGAGCGAACAGGAUUAGAGACCCCUGUAGUCCCUGUCUCUUAUAC
RNAcentral lists this ribosomal RNA (301 nucleotides) under uncultured bacterium. RNAcentral describes it as "partial 16S ribosomal RNA". It matches the Rfam family "Bacterial small subunit ribosomal RNA", at positions 509 to 807 of the family's 1533-position model. The record is from RNAcentral.